CGCGUAGGUGGUUCAGUCAGUCAGAUGUGAAAGCCCCGGGCUCAACCUGGGAACUGCACCUGAUACUGCUGAGCUAGAGUACGGUAGAGGGCAGUGGAAUUUCCGGUGUAGCGGUGAAAUGCAUAGAGAUCGGAAGGAACACCAGUGGCGAAGGCGACUGCCUGGACUGAUACUGACACUGAGGUGCGAAAGCGUGGGUAGCAAACA
This 207-nucleotide ribosomal RNA is filed under the name uncultured bacterium. RNAcentral describes it as "partial 16S ribosomal RNA". It matches the Rfam family "Bacterial small subunit ribosomal RNA", at positions 568 to 774 of the family's 1533-position model. The record is from RNAcentral.